Molecule: transfer RNA, 83 nt
Filed under: Candidatus Ancillula kalotermitis
Lineage: Bacteria; Bacillati; Actinomycetota; Actinomycetes; Bifidobacteriales; Bifidobacteriaceae
Description: tRNA-Ser
Rfam family: tRNA
About the family: Transfer RNA (tRNA) molecules are approximately 80 nucleotides in length.
Source: RNAcentral
GGACAGUUGGCAGAGCGGUCGAAUGCGGCGGUCUUGAAAACCGUUGAGGGAAACCUCCAGGGGUUCAAAUCCCUUACUGUCCG